UUAUUUAGUUUUUCUUUUUGUUAUAAACAUCCUCGACGACUUUGGGAGUUUGAAGGGCGGGAAAGCGCCUCGGCGCGGCUUUUUCGGCCGGCUCCGACGCCCCCGAGUGCACGGGUGUGUGGAAAGAGAAGAGUCGAAGCCUCUAAAAAGAGCGCUCCUGUUCUUUCUUUAAUGAUCCUUCCGCAGGUUCACCUACGGAAA
RNAcentral lists this unclassified non-coding RNA (201 nucleotides) under uncultured fungus. RNAcentral's name for it is "sequence contains ITS1". The record is from RNAcentral. Lineage: Eukaryota; Fungi.